GAUGAACGCUAGCUACAGGCUUAACACAUGCAAGUCGAGGGGUAACGAGAGGAAAGCUUGCUUUCCUUGUCGACGACCGGCGCACGGGUGAGUAACGCGUAUCCAACCUGCCCCCAACUAAGGAAUAACCUUGCGAAAGUAAGACUAAUACCUUAUAAUUUCCUCAGAUGUCAUCUGACGAGGAAUAAAGAUUUAUCGGUUGUGGAUGGGGAUGCGUCUGAUUAGCUUGUGGGCGGGGUAACGGCCCACCAAGGCAACGAUCAGUAGGGGUUCUGAGAGGAAGGUCCCCCACAUUGGAACGGAGACACGGUCCAAACUCCUACGGGAGGCAGCAGUGAGGAAUAUUGGUCAAUGGGCGGAAGCCUGAACCAGCCAAGUAGCGUGCAGGAUGACGGCCCUAUGGGUUGUAAACUGCUUUUAUACAGGAAUAAAGUUAGCCACGUGUGGUUAUUUGUAGGUACUGUAUGAAUAAGGACCGGCUAAUUCCGUGCCAGCAGCCGCGGUAA
This 506-nucleotide ribosomal RNA is filed under the name uncultured bacterium. RNAcentral describes it as "partial 16S ribosomal RNA". It matches the Rfam family "Bacterial small subunit ribosomal RNA", at positions 28 to 523 of the family's 1533-position model. The record is from RNAcentral.